This 329-nucleotide unclassified non-coding RNA is filed under the name soil metagenome. Its description in RNAcentral is "partial contains 5.8S ribosomal RNA, internal transcribed spacer 2, and large subunit ribosomal RNA". The stretch from base 1 to 120 matches the Rfam family "5.8S ribosomal RNA", at positions 35 to 154 of the family's 154-position model. The record is from RNAcentral.
GAUGAAGAACGUAGUGAAAUGCGAUAAGUAAUGUGAAUUGCAGAAUUCAGUGAAUCCUCGAAUCUUUGAACGCACAUUGCGCCCCCUGGUAUUCCGGGGGGCAUGCCUGUCCGAGCGUCAUUACAACCCUCAAGCUCAGCUUGGUAUUGGGCCCCGCCGCUCCGGCGGGCCCUAAAGUCAGUGGCGGUGCCGUCCGGCUCCGAGCGUAGUAAUUCUUCUCGCUCUGGAGGUCCGGUCGUGUGCUCGCCAGCAACCCCCAAUUUUUUUCAGGUUGACCUCGGAUCAGGUAGGGAUACCCGCUGAACUUAAGCAUAUCAAUAAGCGGAGGA